Long non-coding RNA from Mya arenaria, 831 nucleotides. RefSeq lists it as uncharacterized. The transcript is spliced from 3 exons. NCBI's taxonomy places the organism in Eukaryota, Metazoa, Mollusca, Bivalvia, Myida, Myidae. The record is from RefSeq and is a predicted model, not a curated record.
AGGUCGUAUGAUUGAAACGCAGAACAACAUGCGCGGUCAAGGAUGUAAUUUAUAAAUAGAAAAAACAUCCGGAUUGUCGUGUGUUUCAAUGUUUUGUAAAGUAAAACACAUCAGUUCAUUAAAUAAACCCGAACAAUUCGCUCGAAGAAAAUGAAAGGUGAUACACUUGGAUUGCUUUGUGUGCUGGUUGUAGCGCUUAUUACCCAUGGAUCUGUUGUCAGCGGGGACAGCAAAGCUCUUUCCCUGUUUCAUCGAAUGAAGAGAGGUGUCUACGGGCGUUGCAAUGGACGUUGUGGGAGUUUCAACAAUUACUGGUGUGCGAAUAGUGGUCAGUGUGUUUGUCAUAGAUUUAGAAAUAGAUGUGGACCUUACCUUGUUUAACAUGAAAUACAACGACCAGGACAAACAUAUCCUUCCUAUGUUUAUUUGUAUUUGAAUUGGUGAUUUUCGAAUGAAGCUUAUAAGGGACAUACAUGUAUUAUUUGAACAUCCAUAACGCGAUUUCAUAAUAGCCAUUUUCUAUAUAACUGGUUCUUCUAUUUAAGUCUUUUUCUUGUUCAUGACGACACUUCCUGUAAUCUUGUGUAUACAACUUGAUAAAGGCCAAAAUGGCCGAAACGUUGUUAGAAUAAUUAGUUUAUGUUUAAGUUUGACUUCUCUUGUAACUAUCGAUAUACAAAAUUAAUGAACAUGUAUAGAGAUUGUUCUAUAUUGCAUUUACUAAAAUUUUAGGAUAUAAAGAAUUAUUGCAAUCUAGGAUAUUCUAUAAGGCUAUCGACUAAAUAGCAAUGAUGUAGAAGUUCUACAAAAUGAAUAAAGAUAUCAAAUUUA